Molecule: ribosomal RNA, 252 nt
Filed under: uncultured bacterium
Lineage: Bacteria
Description: partial 16S ribosomal RNA
Rfam family: Bacterial small subunit ribosomal RNA
Source: RNAcentral
CGGGUGAGUAACGCGUGGAUAACCUGCCUUACACUGGGGGAGUAACACUUAGAAAUAGGUGCUAAUACCGCAUAAGCGCACAGAGCCGCAUGGCUCAGUGUGAAAAACUCCGGUGGUGUAAGAUGGAUCCGCGUCUGAUUAGCUGGUUGGCGGGGUAGAAGCCCACCAAGGCGACGAUCAGUAGCCGGCCUGAGAGGGUGAACGGCCACAUUGGGACUGAGACACGGCCCAAACUCCUACGGGAGGCAGCAG